RNAcentral lists this ribosomal RNA (274 nucleotides) under uncultured bacterium. RNAcentral's name for it is "partial 16S ribosomal RNA". It matches the Rfam family "Bacterial small subunit ribosomal RNA", at positions 523 to 796 of the family's 1533-position model. The record is from RNAcentral.
AUACGGAGGUGGCGAGCGUUGUUCGGAUUUAUUGGGCGUAAAGGGUCCGUAGGCGGUUUAGAAAGUCGGAUGUGAAAUCCCAGAGCUCAACUCUGGAACUGCAUUCGAAACUUCUAGACUCGAGUGUGAGAGGGGUGAAGGGAAUUCCCGGUGUAAGGGUGAAAUCUGCAGAGAUCGGGAAGAACACCAGUCGCGAAGGCGCUUCACUGGCUCACAACUGACGCUGAGGGACGAAAGCUAGGGUAGCCAACGGGAUUAGAAACCCCAGUAGUCC